This is a long non-coding RNA of Zonotrichia leucophrys gambelii, 647 nucleotides long. RefSeq lists it as uncharacterized. The transcript has 3 exons. The record is from RefSeq and is a predicted model, not a curated record. Lineage: Eukaryota; Metazoa; Chordata; Aves; Passeriformes; Passerellidae.
UGCUGAUUAAAAAAUCCGCCAGCUUCUUAUCCAGCUAUGCCCAGUUGCAGAUACUGGAGUCACACCAGCCUCUCUUGCUGCGAGGCUUUCACUAUCUUAUACCAUCACUGCUCUCUCUGAUGCCAGAGAAGAGAAGAGAAGAGAAGAGAAGAGAAGAGAAGAGAAGAGAAGAGAAGAGAAGAGAAGAGAAGAGAAGAGAAGAGAAGAGAAGAUCUGUGUUGAUUUCACUAGAAAACAGCAUUUUAUAAUACAAUCAUGGUGCUGUAGUAAAGCUGCAAAUUCACCCAUGUAAUCCCAGAACUCUGCUCUCAUCUCAUAUUUUUACAGGGAAAAUGAUAUUUGUCAUAAAAAUGGGAUAGAUCCUGGAACUGAGUCCUGAAGCUGGACUGAAAGGAACAAACCAAAGGAAUGAAUGCUGCAAUGGGAAGCUCUGAGCACAGAAAUGCCGGUGCAGUCUGAGUUGUCUCUUGGUAAUCUGCAUAAUUAAUUGAAAUUUGUUUUCUUUUGUACCAAAGGUAUGCAACGCAGUUACUUGUUUAAAAAAAUAAAUAAAUAAAUAAGAGUUUUCAGUUUUCUGAAAACUCUUGCUUUUAGUUUGACAACUUAUUCUUGCAGUACACGUUAAUAAAAACCCUCUUUUCCUGCAA